AGCAUCACUGAAAAAGGGGAUUGAUUUGUUUUAUUUCCAUCUUCAGCAGAGCCACAAAGUCAGUAGCAGGAUGGAAGAUUCACUCCUUUAGAACAAAGCCACCAUGAAUGGAGUCUUUCGGGACCCGAGACUGGAGCUAUGGAUAGUCCAUUGAUGGGGAGCUAGAAAGGCAGAGCACGUCACAGCUGGAAGGCCCUGGCCAAGGAAAAGAGCCG
This 215-nucleotide long non-coding RNA is filed under the name Cricetulus griseus (Chinese hamster). RNAcentral describes it as "lncRNA (ENSCGRG00000025058.1)". Lineage: Eukaryota; Metazoa; Chordata; Mammalia; Rodentia; Cricetidae. The record is from RNAcentral.